CCUAGGGUGGCAGUAGUGAGGAAGAGUGGGCAAGGGGAGAGAGCCGGAACCAGCCAAGCCGAGUGAGGGAAGACGGACCUAGGGGGUGUAAACCUCUUUUGUCGGAGAACAAAACCCGGGACGUGGCCCGGACUGCGGGUACCCGAAGAAAAAGCAGCGGCGAACCCCUGGCCAGCAGCCGCGGUAAUACGGGGGAUGCGAGCGUUAGCGGGAUUUAUUGGGUUAAAAGGGGGCGGAGGCGGUCCGUUAAGUCAGCGGUAAAAUUUCGGGGCUCACCCCCGUCGAGCCGUUGAAACUGGCAGACUUGAGUUGGCGAGAAGUACGCGGAAUGCGCGGUGUAGCGGUGAAAUGCAUAGAUAUCGCGCAGAACUCCGAUUGCGAAGGCAGCGUACCGGCGCCAGACUGACGCUGAGGCACGAAAGCGUGGGGAUCGAACAGGAUUAGAUACCCUUGUAGUC
RNAcentral lists this ribosomal RNA (458 nucleotides) under uncultured bacterium. RNAcentral describes it as "partial 16S ribosomal RNA". It matches the Rfam family "Bacterial small subunit ribosomal RNA", at positions 338 to 795 of the family's 1533-position model. The record is from RNAcentral.